Molecule: long non-coding RNA, 600 nt
Organism: Myxocyprinus asiaticus (Chinese sucker)
Lineage: Eukaryota; Metazoa; Chordata; Actinopteri; Cypriniformes; Catostomidae
Exons: 3
Source: RefSeq, a predicted model, not a curated record
UUCUGGUUCUGGAUGGCCAGUUCUUGAGUGCUGGUUUGUUCAGGAGAAAGCAGGACAUAGAUUGGGUUUCUCAGUACCAAUGAGCCAAGAGAAAUCUCUUAUGUUCAUCAGAACUGAUGCAUAGAGUGAAGAGACAAUAUCUGAUCUUCAUCCUCCAGCAGAUAUCAGCACAUCCAGAAUUGACUAUGUGACCGAUCCAGCUGGUACAUUCUGUAGUUCUUCCCUGAACCCACCUAAAGGCUCUGUGAACAAACCUAAAUGUGUCCAUGGUCCUAACCAAUAUGUCUAUGGUCAGUUGGGCAGCUGCUCUCACUGACUCUGCCCAAAGUUCCAUCUACCUGCAAGCUGAUUGGUUCUCAGUGGCAGCACAAGGAAUUGAUAAGCCGCUGACACUGUCAAAUAUUAUGCAAGAACCCUCCACUUCUAAAGCGCUAGAUGUAAUCCUCAGCAUCUCCAGUGGUCUACUCUAGACUUGGAGAGCCAGUUCUUUUAGACUAUGGGUUCUGGGUGGACCCAUCUUCACCAGUCCAUGGCUCUGGUUUCUCUAUUGAGUGGCAGUAUCAGUUCCGGGGUGAAGGACGGCUGGUCAUUGCAUAUGAU